AAGGAUCAUUAAGAGAGUAGUUGCCCUGCCGGGCACAUCUACCACCCUUUGUUUACCACACCAUUGUUGCUUUGGCAGGCCUGUCUCUAGACUGCUGGCUCCGGCUGGCGAGCGCCUGCCGAGGGACCCAAACUCUGUUUGUCUAUACUGUCUGAGUACUAUAUAAUAGUUAAAAACUUUCAACAACGGAUCUCUUGGUUCUG
RNAcentral lists this unclassified non-coding RNA (203 nucleotides) under uncultured fungus. RNAcentral's name for it is "partial contains 18S rRNA, ITS1, 5.8S rRNA, ITS2 and 28S rRNA". Lineage: Eukaryota; Fungi. The record is from RNAcentral.